Molecule: transfer RNA, 96 nt
Filed under: Roseateles aquatilis
Lineage: Bacteria; Pseudomonadati; Pseudomonadota; Betaproteobacteria; Burkholderiales; Sphaerotilaceae
Description: tRNA-Sec
Rfam family: Selenocysteine transfer RNA
Source: RNAcentral
GGAAGGGCAACGAUCCCGGUGGAUCGGCCGGACUUCAAAUCCGGUGGACGAUGCCAUGCAUCGUCGGGUGGGUUCGACUCCCACACUCUUCCGCCA